Molecule: unclassified non-coding RNA, 312 nt
Filed under: Pseudozyma pruni
Lineage: Eukaryota; Fungi; Basidiomycota; Ustilaginomycetes; Ustilaginales; Ustilaginaceae
Description: partial internal transcribed spacer region
Rfam family: Eukaryotic small subunit ribosomal RNA (bases 1-46)
Source: RNAcentral
AAGUCGUAACAAGGUAUCUGUAGGUGAACCUGCAGAUGGAUCAUUUCGAUGAAAACCUUUUUUUUUCUGAGGUGUGGCUCGCACCUGUCCAACUAAACUGGGCUACUUUUUUUCAACACGGUUGCAUCGGUUGGGUGUCUGUCAAGGAGUGCCACUUUGGUGCUCGGCGACGGCCUCAACACUUUUUUACACAAAACACUUUUGAUGAUCUAGGAUUUGAAUGAAAGUUCAUUUUUUUUUGAUGGAACCGACUGGUAAUGCGGUCGUCUAAAUCUAAGAAACAACUUUUGGCAACGGAUCUCUUGGUUCUCC